RNAcentral lists this long non-coding RNA (1903 nucleotides) under Canis lupus familiaris (dog). RNAcentral's name for it is "lncRNA (ENSCAFG00000056013.1)". The record is from RNAcentral. Lineage: Eukaryota; Metazoa; Chordata; Mammalia; Carnivora; Canidae.
GUACAGAAACGCCACUGGUUUCUGGACCCUGAGUUUGUAUCCCGCCACACUGCUUAACUUGCUGUAGGUGUUCAGCAAUUUCGGGUGGAGUCUUUUGGGUUUUCUAGGUACGGUAUCAUGUCAUCGGCGAAGAGGGAGAGUUUGACUUUUCCUUUGUGGGUUUGAAUGCCUUUUAUUUCUUCUCGUUGCCUGAUUGCUGAGGCCGUGACGUCUCAUACUAUGUUGAGAAUAGCAGCGGUGAGAGUGGACAUCCCCGUCUCGUGCCUGGUCUUCGGGGAAAGGCUCCCGGUGUUUCCCCAUUGGGAAUGAUAAUUUGCCAGGGGCUUGUCGUAGAUGGCUUUGAAGAUGCUGAGGGACUUUCCCUCUAUCUCUGUACACUGAAGCGUUUGGAUCAGGAAUGGAUUUUGUCAAAUGCUUUCUGUGCGUGUCUUGAGAGGAUCAUCUGGUUCUUGUUUUUUCUCUUGCAGAUCUGAUCAGUCACACGGAGUGCUUGCCGAGUGUUGAAUCGGCCUUGCGUUCCGGGGAUAAAUGCCACCUGGUCACGGUGAGUAACUUCUCAAUGUACCGUUGGAUCCUAUUGGCUCGUAUCUUGUUGAGGACGUUUGCAUCCGUGUUCAUCGGGGACAUCGCAGUAUAAUUCCCCUUUUGGGUGGGGUGGAGUCUUUCUCUGCUUUUGGACAUAAUGUGAUGCUGGCCUCCAAGAACGAGUUUGGAAGCAUUCCAUCUCUUGUCUAUCUUUCGGAACCGCUUGAGCAGAAAUAGGUACGGUUUAUUCUUUAAACGUUGAUCGCAUUCCCCAGGGAAGCCAUCCGGCCCUGGGGUUUUGUGUCUCGGGAGGUCUUUGAUGAUGACUGCUUCAGUUUCCUCCCUGGAUAUUGGCCUGUUCGGGUUUUCUGUGUCUUCCUGUUCCGGUUUUGGUAGUUUGUGGUUUUCAGGAAAUGCGUCCGUUUCUUCUCGAUUGCACAAUUUACUGGCGUACAGCUGCUCAGGAUGAGUUUUAAGAUCCUUUGCAUUUCCUUGGUGGUGGUGGUGAUCUCUCGUUUCUCAUUCAUGAUUUUAUUAAUUAGAGUCUUCUCUCUUCUUUUUAUAAGGCUGGCUUAAUGAUUUUUCUCUCUCUUAUUGGUUCUUUCAAAGAUCCACCUCCUGGUUUUGUGGAUGUGUUUCUCCGGUUCUUCUGCUCUCCAUUUCAUUGAGUUCUGUUCGAAUUUUUAUUAACCAUCGUCUUCUGCUGGGUGAAGGUUUCAUUUGCUGUUCCUUCUCCAGCUCCUUUAGGUGCAAGGUUAGCUUUUGUAUUUGAGUUCUUUCCAGUGUUGGAUGGACACUUGUAUUGCGAUGUAUUUGCCCCUCGGGACCGCUUUUGCCGUAUCCCAAAGAUUUGGAACAGGUUGUAUCUUCAUUCUCGUUGGUUUUUGUGAAUCUUUUUAAUUCUUCUCUAAUGUCCUGGUUGAACCUUUCGUCUUUUAGCAGGAUGGUCCUUAACCUGCACGUGUUUGAAAUCCUUGCAAACUUCUUCUUGUGGUUGAGUUCUAGUUUCAGAGCAUUAUGGUCUGAAAAUACGCAGGGGACGAUCCCAGUCUUUUAGUAUCGAUCACGACCUGAUUUGCGACCCAGUAUGUGGUCUCUUCUGGACAAAGUUCCACGUGCACUUGAGAAGAAUGUGAAUUCAGUUGCAUUUGGAGGUAAAGUUCUGUAAACAUCUGUGAGAUCCACGUGGUACACUGCAUCCUUUCAUGCGCUUGUUUCUUUGGAGAUGCUGUGCCUGGAAGAUCUAUCAUUCCUAGAAAGCGCCGUGCUCGAGUCUCCAAGUCAAAGUGUCUUAUUACCUAAGUAUGUCUUAACUUUGGUUACUAAUUGCUUGAUAUCCUUGGCAGCUCCCACAUUCGGGGCAUAGAUAUCCAUGAUU